AGGAUGUGGAAUUGCACAGACAACCAGGAUGUUGGCUUAGAAGCAGCCACUCAUUUAAAGAGUGCGUAAUAGCUCACUGGUCGAGUGAUCCUGCGCCGAAAAUUUCCGGGGCUAAAACGUACUACCGAAGCUACGGCAUCAUUUAUGAUGGGUAGGAGAGCUUCCCAUACGGGUUGAAGCAUGACCGAAAGGACAUGUGGACUGUAUGGGAGUGAGAAUGUUGGCAUGAGUAGCGAGAUGUGGGUGAGAAUCCCACAGGCCGUAAACCCAAGGUUUCCAGGGGAAGGUUCGUCCGCCCUGGGUUAGUCAGGACCUAAGCCGAGGCCGAAAGGCGUAGGUGAUGGACAACAGGUUGAUAUUCCUGUACCACCAAUAACCGUUUGAGAAAUGGGAUGACACAGAAGGAUAAGCUAACCGCACUGUUGGUUAUGUGCGGGCAAGUAUUGAGGCAGUUCUGGUAGGCAAAUCCGCCAGAAUAAUGCUAGGGUACGAUGCGGAGCGAAAUUUAGUAGCGAAGUAGCUGAUUUCACACUGUCGAGAAAAGUCUCUAUCGAGGUUAAAGGUGCCUGUACCGCAAACCGACACAGGUGGGUGAGGAGAGUAUCCUAAGGCCAGCCAGAGAACUGUUGUUAAGGAACUCGGCAAAAUGACCCCGUAACUUAGGGAGAAGGGGUGCCUUCGAAAGAAGGCCGCAGAGAAUAGGCCCAAGCGACUGUUUACCAAAAACAUAGGUUUCUGCUAAGUCGCAAGACGAUGUAUAGGAGCUGACGCCUGCCCGGUGCUGGAAGGUUAAGGGGAUCUGUUAGAGCAAUCGAAGCAGUGAACUUAAGCCCCAGUAAACGGCGGCCGUAACUAUAACGGUCCUAAGGUAGCGAAAUUCCUUGUCGGGUAAGUUCCGACCCGCACGAAAGGCGUAACGAUUUGGGCACUGUCUCAACAACAGACUCGGUGAAAUUGUAAUACCGGUGAAGAUGCCGGUUACCUGCGACAGGACGGAAAGACCCCAUGGAGCUUUACUGUAGCUUGACAUUGAGUCUCGGUGCUACAUGUACAGGAUAGGUGGGAGGCUAUGAAGCAUGGACGUCAGUUUGUGUGGAGCCAUCCUUGGGAUACCACCCUUGUAGUACUGGGAUUCUAACCAGCUGCCUUGAAUCAGGUAGUGGGACACUGUCAGGUGGACAGUUUGACUGGGGCGGUCGCCUCCUAAAGAGUAACGGAGGCGCUCAAAGGUUCUCUCAGUACGGUCGGAAAUCGUACGUAGAGUGUAAAGGCAGAAGAGAGCUUGAUUGCAAGACAUACAGGUCGAGCAAGGACGAAAGUCGGACUUAGUGAUCCGGUGGUUCCGCAUGGAAGGGCCAUCGCUCAACGGAUAAAAGCUA
This 1379-nucleotide ribosomal RNA is filed under the name metagenome. RNAcentral describes it as "bacterial LSU rRNA". It matches the Rfam family "Bacterial large subunit ribosomal RNA", at positions 1070 to 2465 of the family's 2925-position model. The record is from RNAcentral.